This 243-nucleotide ribosomal RNA is filed under the name uncultured bacterium. RNAcentral describes it as "partial 16S ribosomal RNA". It matches the Rfam family "Bacterial small subunit ribosomal RNA", at positions 111 to 354 of the family's 1533-position model. The record is from RNAcentral.
UAACGCGUGAGGAACCUGCCUUUCAGAGGGGGACAACAGUUGGAAACGACUGCUAAUACCGCAUGAUGUAUCGGGGUCGCAUGGCACUGAUACCAAAGAUUUAUCGCUGAAAGAUGGCCUCGCGUCUGAUUAGCUAGUUGGUGAGGUAACGGCCCACCAAGGCGACGAUCAGUAGCCGGACUGAGAGGUUGACCGGCCACAUUGGGACUGAGAUACGGCCCAGACUCCUACGGGAGGCAGCAG